AGGCACUACGGUCUUCCACAUAUGAUCGCCCGGGUGCCGGUCUUGUGCUGCCGCCGCUCGUUGGCGUCUCGCCUUAGCGGCGCGGUCGCUGCGGCGCGCGCGCCCACAUUGGCCAGCAAGGUACGGCGAGCCUCGUCCACCUCCUCCCCGGAGACGCCGGUGUUCCCUUGCGCAGCGUCUGGCGCGGCAGCGGAGUGGUCUGCUGCUCUCCCGGACAUCCCCUACGGCUUCCCGGAGAGAGACUCCACCGUUUUCGCCGCGGAGCGAAGCGGCGGCCUCCAGAAGCGGUGGCUGCAAGACCUUCCACGCCAGGUCAGCAGCAGCACCAAUAGCGCCGGCCCCAAUGCCGGCUCGAUCCUGGUGGAGCGCUACCUCCCCAACAAAGAGGACUUCUGGCGGAGCCCGCCGUACGAGGCGCUGCGUGAGAUUGUGCUGCACUCCCCGUACCACGACGCGUUGAAGAUUAUCAUGGAGCACGACUACCGCUUUCUCUUUGCCGAUGUCAUGUGCAACGCCGAGGCGCCGAUGCCACACAUCAUCUACGAGGACUUCAUGAAGUGUCUUACGUUCUCCUCGCGUCAGCAGCCGCCGGAGGAGCAGUUCGCGCUUCCCGAGCCCGUGUUGCGGGAUCUGCUCUGCUGGGCGGCCUACCACUGCACGCUGGAUCGCUUCUACUUCACCUCCGCCUCCACACUCUUUCGCAAGGUGGAGCAGGAGCAGCACAUGAGUGCGGCCGUGCACAGUGCGUGGGUGUAUAUCUGCACGGCGGCGGGCAAGCUGGAAGAGGCGCUCGCCUACGCCGCCUACAUGGAGGCGAACCGCAUCCCGUUUGACGCGGACGUUUUUGCCCGCUUGAUGCACCCAUCUCUCACACCGGCUCAGCAGCACCUGCAGCAGGCGCCGCAGACAUCGAAGGGCGUCGUGCUGCAGCGGCGCCUCUGCCAAGACAUGAGCCAGCACCACGGCACGAUGUCAGUGGCGGUGCACGCCAUGUUCGUUUACCACAUCCUGACUCUCCGGCAUACGCGCAAGUGGGAGGUGCUGCGUGGAGCUGCGGAGCUGUUCAAUCGGCGGCAACGGCGAGCGAGGAGCAGAAGCGGUCUUGUGGCUCCUGCCUCCUCCACGCCAGCUGCUGCGUCCGCCGCGGAGUCACCGCUCGAGGUGAUCUGCUCCCGCACCAUGCAGCUUGCUAUGUCGCUCUUCUGUAGGGAGAAGGGCGUCCGCUGGGGGCCUCGCACGGCGAAGGAGAUGAUUGCCUUCAUGUUGGACAACGAGGAGGCCGGCUGCACUAUGGCGGACGUUCUAUUUGUGCUGAUGCGCAUCCGACGCAACGAGCGUACAGGGAUGCUGGCCGCGCUUCCCAGAACAGCUUUCAGCGCAGAGGAGCAGGAGGCGCUGCUGCGCGUCACGUAUCGCCGCACUCGGCGCGAUCCGGCGUACGCGGUAGCGGGACCGCUGCUGCGUGAGCUGCUUGCAGCGGAUGGGUUCAGUGGCGCAGCGGCAGGGGAUGACGGAAGCGGCAGCGACGAGGCUGUCAACCGUGCCAUGCGGCACCUGCAGAAACUCGCCUCAUCAGUGGCGGACUACGACGCCUACGCCGGGUCCUCAAACCUCUCCAUCUCUCCAGCAGCGGCUGUGGGUGCGCCGUAUCGCGGAACGGGAGAACGAUGUGCACCGGCAGCGGGGGAUAGCGCAGCCGUUGACGACGAGCGGUGCAGCCUGACCUCUCUCUCGGGAGCCAUGAUGGAGCAGCUGCGCGAGGAAGAGAUGCCAUCGCCGCCGGCGGAAAUAGCGCGCGAUCUCUUGGCUGCCGUGAUGGCGCUGGAUCGCGAAAGCGUGGUAGCAGCACCGGCAACAAGAAGGGGGAGUGGUGACGCACAGACAACGCUAAACGAGUCGUCGCGAACUGCAUCCUUGGCGACGCCUGCAGCGCCAGAGGAGGAUCGGCUUCGCGAUCUUUAUGUGUCUCUGGAAGCGAUGGGGACACCGUCAAGCCUGUCUGCAUGGUCGCUGCAGCAGCUGCAGCGGGAAGAAGAGGAGGCACGGCUCCGCCGGCAGGUAGCGAAUGCGUGGAUAUCGCCCGCCUACGUGCCACGGUAAGGUGUGUGGGGCUGGCGAAAGUAGCAAGCCCCAAAGCUGCCGUCACCCCACCCCCGGAAGCCGCACGCCUCUGAUGGAAUCAUCCGUCGUCUUCUGCAUCUCCUUGUGGUGUCUUACCCAUCACAUCCUCGCACAUUGGUGUUUUGCCUCGCUUGUGUGAGCCUGCAUAUCUGUCUGUGUGCGCUGCUCGAGUUCUAAAUCGCGAGAGCCCGGAAGGAACACACACGUGCCACUGACUCCCUAACAGAGCAAAACCUAACAAAAGCAAUCCAUGCGCGAACGGAAGUCGGUUAACAGCCAUGCAGCGCGUUAGCCACAUCCAGAUGCGCCUGGCCUAUGUUCUGCCGCUUUUCUUUUCGCUGCUUGUGGCCGGGGAGGUGUCUCUCUUGAAAGGAUGUGCAGCCCCAACCGGGGCAUCAGCGAG
RNAcentral lists this unclassified non-coding RNA (2524 nucleotides) under Leishmania donovani. RNAcentral's name for it is "gene:LdHU3.20.1220(CDS-product:hypothetical_prote in_conserved)". Lineage: Eukaryota; Euglenozoa; Kinetoplastea; Trypanosomatida; Trypanosomatidae. The record is from RNAcentral.